Molecule: long non-coding RNA, 1397 nt
Organism: Podarcis raffonei (Aeolian wall lizard)
Lineage: Eukaryota; Metazoa; Chordata; Lepidosauria; Squamata; Lacertidae
Exons: 3
Source: RefSeq, a predicted model, not a curated record
CUGUGCUUGUGGCCUGGUACCGGUUGUGGCUGCUUAGUUAGUGGUGAGGUAAAGGCACUUUGUGCAUGCUCACUUCCCCAUAUUCCUGGAAGUAAACCUAUAAAUUAAAACCCAGGCAGAACCGCAUCCAGUUUAAAAUCCGAGAGGGUCUGGUUCAGAGAGAAUAGUAGUAGGCAGGCUUGUGCUGCCCAAACACGAAUUGCAUGAGGUAUUUUGGAGGUAUAAAAGUUCACGUUCCUGGAUGAAACUUGGGGGGCCAGAGCAUUUAAGUUGCCACAGUUGUAACAGUGAGCUACUAAAAUUUAAGAGAUGCGAACCGUCGACUUUUAGGAUGAAAAGCAGUAUAUAAAUACUUGAACUAAAAUAAUUACUAUACUGAUUACACUUCCUUGUUAAGUAACAGCGAGGCGUCUGUUGCCUGUACCCCAAGUAUACAUACUACACAGUGUGUUUAUGUGCAAGGGCUGCAUAUAUUAAUCUGCACCAAAGUUGCCCAUUAUUUUCUUUCUGGAAGUGAUUUCCGUGAAGGAAUUUUGGUCUAUGGACAUACACACACGGCAGCUUCUUGCAUAGACAGGUGGCACAGGAAGUGUCCCUAGAAAAGCCUGCAAACUGCACAGUUGAACAAUACCUUUGUUAGGACCAACCAAAAAUAGUGUGCAAGCUUUUGUUAUGUAUUCCCUCACAACUCAGUGUUCAAAGCGGGAUGUCUGCCCUGCUAACUGUGCUGGACCUGGAAUGGUCCUACCUGCUGUAUGAACUAGUGAGAUAUCAGCAUAAACUACCUGGGUCCACUGUGGGGAAUUGGAUGUACUCAAAACAUCUGGUUCUGUAAAUUAGAGCUAUUGUGAUGGACCCUAUAGGAUUUGGAAGAGUGGAUCUCUUAGCCUUAAGAAGGCCAGAGCUGGAGACUCAUCUGCUGUAUGUGGCAUAUCCAUUUCAAAUACCAACACAUGUUCAAGUGACAGCUUGAAGUAAUUAGUGCUGUAAAAUGCUGCAUUAUGUCCUCCUCCCAGAGAAGGGAGCUGGUGGUGUGGAGCAUCUGCACCAGAGGCACUUGAAUGUGCCAGGUUGUCUUGACAACUGUGAGAUGUAGAGGACCAGGCUCUUCCCAACUGUAUAUCUCUGUCCUUAUAAUUUGUACCAUGGGCAAACUUUGGACAGUCACCUAAUACUACUUCCAGAAUUAUUCAGAAAUUUAAGAUGUCACUGUGAUCUUGAGCAGCAAUACCCCUCUUAUUUUGGUAGUUUACCAGGCAGCUUGUUGGCUGUUCCCUUCCUUUGGGAAGCACUGAUAGUCCUUAAGUUCAAAUGGUUUUUUAAGUAUUUCAUUUAUUUGCCUUUACCUAGGCAAAGGUGACCUGGGUCUGGUUGUUUUACUCUUGUUUUCAUUUUGU